Molecule: long non-coding RNA, 6079 nt
Filed under: Vigna radiata
Lineage: Eukaryota; Viridiplantae; Streptophyta; Magnoliopsida; Fabales; Fabaceae
Description: long non-coding RNA (VRAD_LNC002453)
Source: RNAcentral
GUCUCAUUUCUCGCGAAGAAGCUGCCCAGUUCACCCCUGGCCAAUUCCUCCAGGCUGGAGUUGGCUCUGGAGCCGAUUGGUUGAAAGCUCUUCAUGUUCCUCACGCCCUUGACUUCGUCAAACCUUGAAAUGAAACACAAUUUCUAUUCCUUCAGUUUUAUUUAUGAGAGUGUGCGAUGAUGAUGCAUAGACAACUAUUAUUCUUUGUAAUUAUCUCCCUGAUUAAAAUAUAAAAAUUCUUCCAUGAUACUUCUUCUUCUAUCUUUUUUUUCUAAUUAAUGAAUUCAUUUCUUGUAAACUUAAUUCGAUUAAUUCCUUUGAGCGCAUACUAAUAAUAAUAAUAAUAAUAAUAUGGUACAUAUUUUUGAUUAAGGGACAUAUUUCUUCAGGACACAUGACAAAAUUGUUACUUUUCAUACAUAUGGUACUUUUUCUAUCAAGUGAUUUGAGGUAUAUUUUAAUUGUGAUCUUUUUUUAAGUUACACUCAUACACAAUUAUUUAUUUUGUGUUCGUCUAAUGUGUUAUAUAGAUUCAUAUUAGAGUCUAGAGAUUCUUUUUUGCACAAGAGAAACUUUGUCACAAAGUUAGCAGGAUAACGACUAAUUUCUUUAAGCUUGUAAAAUCUUUAACAUACCUUUGUCUCUAUAUUUUUAGAAUUCUAUUUUUUUUUGCUUGUAGAAUAAUUAUGAUAACUGCUUAUAAUUUUUUAUAUCUCUCUAUGAUAGGUAAUGUGUGUUUUUUCUUUUUCUUUUCUCGACAAAUAUUAUUGUUAGUUUUUGUUAGUGUGGGAGUUAAACUCACAACCUUUUUCACCUUUCUUCCCAAAUCCUUCAAACUAGCCUUAUAUCUCAUAAAUGUUAACGGGGAAGUUGAACUCACAACCUUUCUCAUCUUCUUUCCAACUUUUACAAUCAGGUCAACCUUAUAGCUCCAUAUGUUCGGUUAUGGGUGCUACAUUUUUUUUUAGAUUUCCACAGUUUUGACUUGUGCUUUUUGAUGCGUAAAAAGUUUGAAGGUGCUUCUUUAUUUUAUAUGUUUUUCAGUGAUAAAAAAAAUCAAUCUACUUCUUUAUUAGGUAUUUGGUCAUCAAUAUAUGUAGUCCAUUGAAAAUAAGAUUAACUUCAAUCUUGUGAAAAUAUUCAGUUACCUUAAUAUAAGUACUAAGUAACAAGGUGAAUCAAUUUUCAAAUACUCCUAAGUUUUCGAAGCCAUUUUCUCAUGAUCAAGGCUUUACUAUAGGUGUUUCGGGUAUGAGGCCUAGUCUUCUUGUUUAGCUAACCGGUCUUUAACUGGAUGCUCACAAUCCAAAGUUUUAUUUGUCAAACACCGAUCAAGGAUACCUAUUAAAGGUUUUUUAAUGUCAAAGUCAAUCUGCUUUAACUCGACCAAUCGAUCUCUACAGGGAUUAGGCUGUCCGGUCUUAUAAAGUUAACGUUUGACUGAUAAUUGAUCGGAUGGGUACAUUGUACAAUGAAAAACCUUGAAAAUCUCCCCAUAAAUAGAAUAUGCACCAUAAAAAAAGGAGAGAUAAAGACAUUUAAAUACUAUACCUUAAAAUUCAAUUUUUUAGUUUAACCUAAUUCUAAAUCAGAAUAAAAUCCAACUUAAAUAGCUCAUUGAUCAUGAAAAGUGGAAGGUGACUUUUUACAUUUUAAUUUCUUAAGGACUCAAUGUUGGUUAUGAGUUUGAUAUAGUGAUACAGUGUUUGAGUUGUUAGUACUUGUUUUAUUGUUUAAAUGGCUGAUAUUUUAACACUCAGAAAAAUACAUCCAUUAUAAGACCUAAAAUAUUACUAUACAUAUUUUAGUUAAUGUUUUGAGAGUAUGAGAUAAAGUGUUCACUUAAAAUAGUAUAUCUUACUUUUUAGUUUCUUUCCUUACUAUUUAGAUACUUUUACUCAUUAAGUUUACCCGCUAAAGAUAAUGCUUAACUCAGUUUAUAUUUGAUAAGUCAAACAAUUAAUGUUUUAAUAAAUGCAUUGUAAAAGUCUCAAUAAUUAUACUUUUGACUUAUAUUUAUUUAUUUUCUAUAGACUUCUGAUUAUAUUGAUUAUUUCUGCCUAAUCACAAUUCAAUAAACUUGAUUACUGUCAUGGUUAACUUAAUUAGAUGAUUGGUCUUCUUCCAAUUUAAAUGAUCAAUUUAGGAUAAUUUGAUCGAUACGUAUUGUUAACAAAAAAAAUUAUUAUAUUAUUAUUAAAAAAAUAUAAGUGGACAAACUUUCUUGAAUUAGCCUAAAGUAUAUUUUUCUUAUAUAGGAUAUGUAUCCAAUGCACACUACCUGAGGUAGAUGGAGACUGAACAAUUAUUCUUUUAUAAAUGGAAAAUUAUUCCUUCACAUUCACAGUUUUCUCUUAUUUCUAAUUCACAAUCUAUUAUAGUAAUUUAAUAAGGUAUGUUAGAAUUUUAAGUUAAAAAUGAAAUGAAUAAAAUAAAAAUUAUUAUAUUGAAUUGUCAAAUGAUUAUAUUUUAUUUCGUGGGUGUCAAAGUAUAACCAACCUAUACAAUGUCUCUUUUCUGAUUAAAAAGAAAAACUUGAUAAACAUGCAAAUACAGCCAAUUGCUAGAGUUACCACACUCCAAUAGUUGAGUAAACAAAUUUAAGACCCAUACAAUAAACGUUUUUGAGAGAUUUUUUUUAUCACCAUUUUGUCUGUAUUUUCCUUCUACGAUAUAUGUUCAUAGUGGGAGAAAGCAUGAGAUAAAAAAAAAUCAAACAAAUUAUGGGACUAAGAAGAACAUGUAAAGCGGAAAUGUAAAAGGAAUGUAAGAAAGUAAGCCUAAAAAAAUUUAAGUCCAUAUUAAAUAAAAGAAAAGAGAAAUUUUUUUUUAACAAUUUUUUUUUUACAACGUGGUAGCUUGUGAUUUGUCCACUUCAAAUAUUUUUUUUUUAAAAUAAAUUCGAACAAACCAAUAAAAUAGUGACACAUAUCCUAUUUAUUAAAAAAUGGUGUUAAAAUUUCAGAAUCCAAAAGAAAAAGAAAAAUCACAUUUUUAUCUUCGUUUUUAUAUAACAAUAUGUAAAUGAUGAAGAUUUUUUUUAUUUAAUUAUUCAUUUUAUUUCUAAAAUUAAAAUGUACUUUUCCACUUUAUUAAUUCGUUUUCCACUUUAUAUUUUCUGUUUGUAUAAUGAAAGCAGCAUAUAAAAUAUAGGAGAAUAUAAUUUGAAUCAUAUAAUAAUUGCGCAAUAAAUCUAAACAAACAUCAUUUAUUAAAUUCUAAUAAUUUUGACCAUAUAAGGUGAAAAAAAACUCAAAUAACUUUUCUUACGUGCCCAAGUGAUGAAUCGAGUAUAACCCAAAUGAUCAAUCAAGUAUAACAAAAUAAUCAAAAUAACUAAAUAAAGUUAAGAAAAAGAAUUGUGAUCAUUUAUAACAAAAAAAAAUCCAAUUUAUGUGUCCCUUUAAUAUUCUUAAAUUUCAUAGACAUACACACACUCUUUAAUCAAUAUAAAAAUAACAUUGGUAUAUAUUAUUACAAAGAUUCAAUGGAUUAGAAAGUUUAGGUAUCAGAGUACACAAUAUGAUAACAUAAGAAAGUAACACUGAAGUAUUCUUCUCUUUAAUUAUGAGUUUCUUCCUGGCUAACAGUUGGACAAUAUAACACAUUAAUUAUACGAUUUUAUUUAAUAUGAUUAGAAUUAAUUAUCACACCUCUUAUUUUGGAGUUUCAAACACAUUUUCUGUUUUAGUUUGCACUACGAUGGGUCCAUAAUAUGAAAAAAUAUAAAAAUUAAAAUAUACAUAAGAGACAUAAAAGUUAUAAGAAAUUAUUAGAUUAAGUUUACACAUUUUACCGUAAUAUAUUACUAGUAACAUAAUAAUGAAAACUACAGGAAGAAACAAAUAGGUAUAGAAGUUUUCUACAUUCUUCUGCCAUGACAGUCAUACUUUCUAAAAGAAAGGAUGGGAUCGACUGAAUAUGGUAUCUCCAAAUAUAGGUUGAACCAAAAACAGAAGGCCAAUUAUAGAGUUUGUUGGAUCGGAUUGAACGGUGAAAAAAGGUGGAAGGAACACUAUAUAAACUCUCCCCUUCCUCAUUAUUCUUCACCAGCAUCUCAACAAUAGCCUCCCCCUAAAUUUCAAGGGGAGGAGUAAUAAGCCUAUAAUUUUUUUUUCCACCACCAUCUUUGGGAGAAAAAGGGAUUUGAGGCAAAAAAAAUAAAAGAUGUCUGGAAAAAUAAUUAUCUCCGCAGUUUCUCUCAUCCUUGUAGUAGGUGUUGCAAUUGGGGUUGUGGUUAGUGUUAACAAGAAAGGUGAGGAAUCAUCCAUCCAAUCCAAUCAAAAAUCUCUUGAUAUUAUUUGUCAAAACACCGAUGACAAACAACUUUGCCACAACACUUUGAGCUCCGUUAAGGGUCUUGACACUACUGAUCCUAAGGCUUACAUUGCCACAGCAGUGAAAGCAACCAUGGACAGUGUGAUCAAAGCGUUCAACAUGAGUGACAGACUCACCACUGAGCACGGAGACACAGACAACAGCACUAAAAUGGCCCUUGAUGAUUGCAAGGACUUAUUGCAAUAUGCCAUCCAAAGUCUUCAACUCAGCACUGACAUGGUGCAAAAUAACAACAUCCAAGCCGUGCAUGACCAAACUGCUGAUUUCAAGAAUUGGCUUAGUGCAGUUAUCUCAUACCAACAGGCGUGCAUGGAAGGCUUCGACGAUGGCAAAGAAGGUGAGAAGAAGAUCAAGGAUCAAUUCCAAACAGAGAGCUUAGACCAAGUGCAAAAACUCACUGCCAUCACCCUCGAUAUUGUGAGUGGAUUGUCACAUAUCCUUGAGAAAUUCGGGUUGAAGUUAAACCUUAAACCCGCUUCUCGUCGUCUUCUCAGCAAGGAUGGGUACCCUACUUGGUUCUCUGCCUCAGAUCGCAAGCUCUUGGCUCAGCUUGGACGUAAAGGAUGGAGAGCAAACAUCACACCCAAUGUUGUAGUUGCCCAGGAUGGCUCUGGUCAAUUUAAAACCAUUGCUGAGGCAAUUGCUUCUUACCCCAACAACUUCCAAGGUAGAUAUAACAUCUAUGUUAAGGCUGGUGUCUAUGAUGAAUACAUCACUGUUCCUAAAAACGCCGUCAAUAUUCUCCUCUAUGGUGAUGGCCCUGGAAAGACCGUUGUCACUGGUCACAAGAACUUCCGUGAUGGUGUGAAGACAAUGCAAACUGCCACUUUUGCCAACACUGCUCAGGGAUUCAUUGCCAAGGCAAUGACAUUCGAGAACACUGCUGGAGCUGACGGACACCAAGCUGUGGCUUUUAGGAAUCAAGGAGACAUGUCAGCAAUUAUUGGCUGCCACAUUUUGGGUUACCAAGACACCUUGUAUGCCCAAACCAACAGACAAUUCUAUCGCAAUUGUGUCAUCUCCGGCACCAUUGACUUCAUCUUUGGCACCUCACCCACUGUGAUCCAACACUCUGUCAUCAUCGUAAGGAAACCCCUUGACAACCAAUUAAACACCAUUACUGCAGACGGUACAUCCGCGAAGAACAUGAACACUGGAAUCGUUAUCCAAGAUUGUGAGAUUGUGCCCGAAGCUGAGCUCUUCCCAGUGAGGUUCCAAAUUAAGUCCUACUUGGGCAGGCCAUGGAAGCAGUACUCAAGGACUGUGGUGAUGGAAUCCACCAUUGGUGACUUCCUUCACCCUGAAGGAUGGUGCCCUUGGGCAGGCGAAUACUUUGAAGACACCUUGUACUACGCUGAGUACAACAAUGCUGGACCUGGUGCCGCGGUGGAGGGAAGAAUCAAGUGGAAGGGUUAUCACGGUCUCAUUUCUCGCGAAGAAGCUGCCCAGUUCACCCCUGGACAAUUCCUUCAGGCUGGAGUUGGCUCUGGAACCGAUUGGUUGAAAGCUCUUCAUGUUCCACAUGCCCUUGACUUCGUCAAACCUUGAAAUCAAACAUAGUUUCCAUUCCUUCAAGUGUGAGAUGAUAAGCGGAGAUAAUUAUCAUUCUUUGUAAUUUAUUUUUUAUAUUAAAAUAUAGAAAAUAAGAACAUAAAAAUCUUUCCACUACUUCGCUUCUGUUUAUUUCUAUUUUAUAACGAAGGAAUCCAAUUUUUACCAACUUAAUUUACUAAUUUCUUUU